CCUCAUAACGACCCAUUGAUCGUGGAGGCUCACAUAGCCAACUUUGAUGUUCGACGAAUCCUCGUAGACAUAGGGGCUUCGGUCAAUAUCAUGUUUGCCGAAGCUUUCAGGGCACUCAGUGUAGCUGAACACUUGCUCGAUCGCUCGAUUUCUCCUCUGAUAAGCUUCUCCGGUGAUAUCGUGCAACCCUCAGGGAGCAUACAUUUACCCUUUACUAUUGGUACAGGCCCUUACACGGCUACUAUUACCACUAACUUCCUAGUGGUUGACUGCCCAACGGCAUACAAUGU
This 290-nucleotide long non-coding RNA is filed under the name Malus domestica (apple). RNAcentral describes it as "long non-coding RNA (MDOM_LNC007261)". Lineage: Eukaryota; Viridiplantae; Streptophyta; Magnoliopsida; Rosales; Rosaceae. The record is from RNAcentral.